Molecule: ribosomal RNA, 484 nt
Filed under: uncultured bacterium
Lineage: Bacteria
Description: bacterial SSU rRNA
Rfam family: Bacterial small subunit ribosomal RNA
Source: RNAcentral
AUUGAACGCUGGCGGCAGGCCUAACACAUGCAAGUCGAGCGGUAGAGAGGUGCUUGCAUCUCUUGAGAGCGGCGGACGGGUGAGUAAUGCCUAGGAAUCUGCCUAGUGGUGGGGGAUAACGUUCGGAAACGGACGCUAAUACCGCAUACGUCCUACGGGAGAAAGCGGGGGAUCUUCGGACCUCGCGCCAUUAGAUGAGCCUAGGUCGGAUUAGCUAGUUGGUGAGGUAAUGGCUCACCAAGGCGACGAUCCGUAACUGGUCUGAGAGGACGACCAGCCACACUGGGACUGAGACACGGCCCAGACUCCUACGGGAGGCAGCAGUGGGGAAUUUUGGACAAUGGGCGCAAGCCUGAUCCAGCAAUGCCGCGUGCAGGAUGAAGGCCUUCGGGUUGUAAACUGCUUUUGUACGGAACGAAACGGUGAGCUCUAAUACAGUUUGCUAAUGACGGUACCGUAAGAAUAAGCACCGGCUAACUACGUG